Schistosoma mattheei is the source of this 45-nucleotide non-coding RNA. Lineage: Eukaryota; Metazoa; Platyhelminthes; Trematoda; Strigeidida; Schistosomatidae. The record is from Rfam.
AUCCAGCUGAUGAGUCCCAAUUAAGACGAAACACGCGUCCUGAAU